AUAGCAUCCGCCAGCCGCCCCCUGCGGCCGCUUCUAAAUGCUGCUGUGUACUCAGCUGCCAGAUCCUAGUGCCAGCCCCGAGUGCUGAUGGCGCCCUGCCUUCCAAUCUUGCCUAAUAACUGCCUGAGCAUCCAUAUGCCUGCACCACCAAUGUCAUUUCAGAGCAACGAGUUGGGGCCCCCUCCCCAUGUCAAAGGAAGCCACCCAUGAGCCCUGAAGACACGCUCUGACUUCAUCCACAGACCAUGACACCACGCACGAGUGUCUCUCGCUGUGUUAAUCUCACUGCCUUACGGAAUGGUGCCAAGAUCCCUCUCACCCCAGGGCCUUUGCACCUGCUUCCUCUGGCCCAGACACUUGUCUUCUACCCAGGAUUCAUGCUACAUUUACCAUCUUCUCUGCUCCAAUCUCUCCUCUCCAUGCUGCAGAAGAGCUGCCCUGAAGUGCCUACAAGGAUAGCACAUCACAGGUAGGUAUACAAAGCAUUACUAAUUAAAAGGAAUAAGCAAAUGAAUGAAGCCUUCUCCUGCCCCUGCUGCCUCACGGGACUUUCAACUAACC
Molecule: long non-coding RNA, 561 nt
Filed under: Mus spicilegus (steppe mouse)
Lineage: Eukaryota; Metazoa; Chordata; Mammalia; Rodentia; Muridae
Description: lncRNA (ENSMSIG00000024274.1)
Source: RNAcentral